AUGGAGGACAUGACUCGGGGUGGAGGAAGGGGGAGAGCUCCACAACGACCCUCCAGCAAGGAGAAUGACGCCCAUGGGCGACGCGUCGUCGGCACCGACAAAGCCGGGCAGAUUCUCAUCCGGAGCAUCCCAAACCUCUCCAACCCACGCAGCCGGCGACAGAAGAGCCACAGGCCCGCACAUCCGAUGGUCCAAGCACCUCAAGCAUGGAGACGGCGCCAUCCCACGCAAGAGCAACCACCUCGCCGCCGGCAGACACCGACGAGCCGGAUCCAAAGACAGAUCGGGCAACCUCCUGCUGCAGCAUCAACGCACAGGCCACCAGACGCGCGCGAAAAGGCCUCCAAAAGGCCGGAAGGGGGGGCCGCCACCCCGCCCCGACGCGCCGGCGAGAGGACCGAGCCGUAG
RNAcentral lists this ribosomal RNA (408 nucleotides) under Triticum aestivum (bread wheat). Its description in RNAcentral is "partial small subunit ribosomal RNA". Lineage: Eukaryota; Viridiplantae; Streptophyta; Magnoliopsida; Poales; Poaceae. The record is from RNAcentral.